This is a non-coding RNA of Pangasianodon gigas (Mekong giant catfish), 71 nucleotides long. The record is from the annotation of a GenBank genome assembly. NCBI's taxonomy places the organism in Eukaryota, Metazoa, Chordata, Actinopteri, Siluriformes, Pangasiidae.
AGUGGUAGCUUAAUGGUUAAGGCUUUGCCCUGUAAAGCUAAAGGUAGUGAGUUCAAAUCCCAGUGCUACUA